Molecule: long non-coding RNA, 1071 nt
Organism: Magnolia sinica
Lineage: Eukaryota; Viridiplantae; Streptophyta; Magnoliopsida; Magnoliales; Magnoliaceae
Exons: 3
Source: RefSeq, a predicted model, not a curated record
UGGGAAGACAUGGUAAAACUAAGUUAAUUCAUUGUAAAUGCAUCAAAUUAUGUUAUUCAUGACAAGAAUUCAGUUCAGUUUUUUAAUUUUCUAUAGCAAUUUGUUUAACGAGCUCUACUACCAUGCAGUUUUGUUCUUUAACUGAAAUACUUGCAUUCUGUUUCCAAUGAUAGUUUGUUGCAGCAUGCAAGAAGCCCCCAGUGUUCUGCAUCAUCACCGAGUAUUUGGCAGGGGGUUCUCUGAGACAGUAUCUCCACAGAUAGGAGCCUCAUUCUCUUCCACUAGAUCUGGUUUUGAUAUUGGCGCUUGAUAUUGCACGUGGGAUGCAUUAUCUUGAUUCUCAGGGAAUUCUUCAUAGGGACCUCAAAUCAGAAAAUCUACUUCUUGGGGAAGAUGUGUGUGAAAGUAGCGGAUUUUGGAAUCUCAUGUUUAGAAUCUCAGUGUGAAAGUAGAGAAGGAAUCAUGGGCACUUACCGAUGGAUGGCACCAGAAAUGAUUAAAGAAAAACAUCAUACUAGGAAAGUUGAUGUAUACAGUUUUGGCAUAGUCCUUUGGGAGCUCUUUAGUGCAUUGAUACCAUUCUAUGACAUGACUCCAGAACAGGCUGCUUUUGCAAUCUCCCAGAAGGGAUUUUGAUGUCUACAUUUGACAUGAAGGAUGAAUCCAAGGGCCAUCUCAUUCCAAAAGCAUGGAAGUGAUUUGGCAAGGUGAGAUUGCUGGAGUAGAUGUGGCUUUGGAUACAUUCAAGGCCGAAAAGGCAUUUCCUAUGUGCAAACUCACACAUUUGUUGCAUGAUUCAUUGGGUGGGAGGACUACGACAUGUAUAAUUGGUGGGCCUGUCAAAAUUGGACUGGGCCUGUCCUGUUCAUUAGGUGGACUUAAAAAUAGGCCUGUGUUUGACCUGCAGGCCUAAAAUCAGAUCAAGUUGGGACCAUGGGGGCCAGGUCUGUAUAGGACUUGUCUCCAUGGGAACUGCGCCAAAAUAUACGAAUUUACUCUUCCUUUUUUUUAUUUAUUUUCUUGGUGAUUUUUAUUUUCUCAGUUCUCAUUUAUUGGAUAUGUUCAUUUGAA